Molecule: transfer RNA, 72 nt
Filed under: Sphaerodactylus townsendi
Lineage: Eukaryota; Metazoa; Chordata; Lepidosauria; Squamata; Sphaerodactylidae
Description: tRNA-Thr
Rfam family: tRNA
About the family: Transfer RNA (tRNA) molecules are approximately 80 nucleotides in length.
Source: RNAcentral
GGAGCUAUGGCUCAAUAGUGGAGCACCUGCUUUGUGUGUAUGAGGUCCCGGGUUCAAUGCCCAGCAUCUCCA